Molecule: long non-coding RNA, 261 nt
Filed under: dengue virus type 2
Lineage: Riboviria; Orthornavirae; Kitrinoviricota; Flasuviricetes; Amarillovirales; Flaviviridae
Description: Dengue virus type 2 partial sfRNA3
Rfam family: Flavivirus DB element (bases 93-164)
Source: RNAcentral
AUCUGGGAGGCCACAAACCAUGGAAGCUGUACGCAUGGCGUAGUGGACUAGCGGUUAGAGGAGACCCCUCCCUUGCAAGUCGCAGCAACAAUGGGGGCCCAAGGUGAGAUGAAGCUGUAAUCUCACUGGAAGGACUAGAGGUUAGAGGAGACCCCCCCGAAAUAAAAAACAGCAUAUUGACGCUGGGAAAGACCAGAGAUCCUGCUGUCUCCUCAGCAUCAUUCCAGGCACAGAACGCCAGAAAAUGGAAUGGUGCUGUUG